Molecule: unclassified non-coding RNA, 242 nt
Filed under: Hevea brasiliensis (rubber tree)
Lineage: Eukaryota; Viridiplantae; Streptophyta; Magnoliopsida; Malpighiales; Euphorbiaceae
Source: RNAcentral
UGGGCUUGGGACAACGGGAAAUAAUCCAAACUAUGGAACAACUAGAAAUCCAUAUUCAACUGAAAGGUACACUGGAGGAUCUUCCUCUGGUCCUGCAGCACUUGUGGCAUCUGGAUUAUGUUCAGCUGCAAUAGGAACAGAUGGUGGAGGCUCGGUUAGAAUUCCGUCUUCACUUUGCGGUAUUGUGGGCAUGAAGACGACAUAUGGACGGACUGACAUAAAAGGGGCGUUGUGUGAUUCUG